Molecule: ribosomal RNA, 491 nt
Filed under: uncultured bacterium
Lineage: Bacteria
Description: bacterial SSU rRNA
Rfam family: Bacterial small subunit ribosomal RNA
Source: RNAcentral
AGAGUUGAUCAUGGCUCAGGACGAACGCUGGCGGCACGCUUAACACAUGCAAGUCGAACGGAGAAACUGGAUUAUUCAUUUCUUAGUGGCGGACGGGUGAGUAACACGUGAGCAACCUGCCUUUGAGAGGGGAAUAGCUUCGGGAAACUGAUGGUAAUACCCUAUAAUAUAUUUGUAAGGCAUCUUAUGGAUAUCAAAGAUUUAUCACUCAAAGAUGGGCUCGCGUCUGAUUAGCUAGUUGGUGAGGUAACGGCUCACCAAGGCGACGAUCAGUAGCCGGACUGAGAGGUUGAACGGCCACAUUGGGACUGAGACACGGCCCAGACUCCUACGGGAGGCAGCAGUGGGGAAUAUUGCACAAUGGGGGGAACCCUGAUGCCAGCGAUGCCGCGUGGAGGAAGAAGGUUUUCGGAUUGUAAACUCCUUUUGUCUGGGAAGAUAAUGACUGUACCAGAUGAAUAAGCUCCGGCUAACUACGUGCCAGCAGCGGC